UACGUAGGGUGCAAGCGUUGUCCGGAAUUAUUGGGCGUAAAGAGCUCGUAGGCGGUCUGUCGCGUCUGCUGUGAAAACUCAGGGCUUAACCCUGAGCUUGCAGUGGGUACGGGCAGACUAGAGUGCGGUAGGGGAGACUGGAAUUCCUGGUGUAGCGGUGAAAUGCGCAGAUAUCAGGAGGAACACCGGUGGCGAAGGCGGGUAUCUGGGCCGUAACUGACGCUGAGGAGCGAAAGCAUGGGGAGCGAACAGG
RNAcentral lists this ribosomal RNA (253 nucleotides) under uncultured bacterium. RNAcentral's name for it is "partial 16S ribosomal RNA". It matches the Rfam family "Bacterial small subunit ribosomal RNA", at positions 524 to 776 of the family's 1533-position model. The record is from RNAcentral.